AUUGAACGCUGGCGGCAUGCCUUACACAUGCAAGUCGAACGGUAACAGGUCUUCGGAUGCUGACGAGUGGCGAACGGGUGAGUAAUACAUCGGAACGUGCCCGAUCGUGGGGGAUAACGAGGCGAAAGCUUUGCUAAUACCGCAUACGAUCUACGGAUGAAAGCGGGGGAUCUUCGGACCUCGCGCGGACGGAGCGGCCGAUGGCAGAUUAGGUAGUUGGUGGGAUAAAAGCUUACCAAGCCGACGAUCUGUAGCUGGUCUGAGAGGAUGAUCAGCCACACUGGAACUGAGACACGGCCAAGACUCCUACGGGAGGCAGCAGUGGGGAAUUUUGGACAAUGGGCGAAAGCCUGAUCCAGACAUACCGCGUGGAGGAUGAAGGCCUUCGGGUUGUAAACUGCUUUUGUAAGGAAAGAAAAGCCUCUUUCUAAUAAAGAGGGGUCAUGACGGUACCGUAAGAAUAAGCACCGGCUAACUACGUG
Molecule: ribosomal RNA, 482 nt
Filed under: uncultured bacterium
Lineage: Bacteria
Description: partial 16S ribosomal RNA
Rfam family: Bacterial small subunit ribosomal RNA
Source: RNAcentral